CUCGCCCGCCGCCCCUCCGCUGGAGCUGGGCCCCGCCGCGCUCCGCUCAGCCCUCGGCCCGCCCCGCCAAGGGUUAAGCCGCAGGGCUGGCGGCGAUGGAAGCCCUGUCAGCGGGGAAACACCCCGGCUGCCCCCCGCUCCGCCCCGCGCCCGCCGCCCCGGGGAGCCGCCGAGCACCGGGGGGGGGUGGGGGGUGCCCGGAAUCCUCCCCGCGGCCCGACCCGCUGCGCCGGAGCCCGCUGACACCCCGCCUGCCUUCGCUCCGGCCCGCACCGGGCCCCGUGCGGGACUCCGGCCGCGAGAGCCCGGCGCCGCGCUGCCAUCGCCCGGGCGGGCGGCGGGAGCGUCCCCUCCCCGAGCCCGCACAAUGGCCCCCCCGCCCCGGUGACACCGGAGCCCCGCGGAUGGCGGCGGGGGGGUGGGGGGGGGCGCUUUGUGCGGGGAAUCCCGCAAAAUUGACAAAACACACACAAAAAAAUAUCUCCAGCGGGGGAGAGCGAUGGGAGCCGGGUAGAGUGGCUCCUCCUCCUGCUCCUGCUCUCCAAAAAGGCCUGUUGGAAAACUGCACACGGCGGCGGCUCCGCGCCCCGCGCUCCCCGGCGAGAAACGGCGGCGAAGGGCGGCAGGAGCGCGGCGGACGCGGGGGGAAAGGCCCGAUGCCUUUGUGUUACCUGCCGUGGAACCAGUCCUUGCAGGCGUCGCACUCGAUCAUGAAGCGGGUUACGUCGUAGGGCAGCCUACAGAUGCAAUAGACGGGCACCGUCGCCAUGUUAGCUCCCUCCCGAGCGCGGCGGGGCGCCCGGCGGAGCGGGGCUGGCGGCGGCUGCUGCGCGGGGCCGCCUCGGCUGCUGCUCCCGCCGAGCGCCGGCGAGGGCGCCGAGCCCGGGCGCGGGGGGAAGGAGGAAAAGGGGGGGCUGGAGAGUGGGAGGAGGGGGAGAAAACAAAAUAAAGAGGGAAAAAAAAAUAUCAAAUAAUGCAGUUACGGCUCCUCAAGGGCGGGCGAGCGCUGUCAGGAAAACAACAAUGCUGCCGGGCUCCCCAAAGUUUGGCUGCAUGGCUCCUUCGGCUCCGCCAGCGCCGGCCGGACCGGGGCUUUUUGUUGUUGUUGUUGUUAAAUGAUUAUUAUUCAAAAUGUUUGGCUAAAUGCGCUCUGUGGCGUGCCCCCUGGUGACAGUACAGUACCGAGCCUCCUCAUAAACACUCCGAAAU
This 1209-nucleotide long non-coding RNA is filed under the name Strigops habroptila (Kakapo). Its description in RNAcentral is "lncRNA (ENSSHBG00005007209.1)". Lineage: Eukaryota; Metazoa; Chordata; Aves; Psittaciformes; Psittacidae. The record is from RNAcentral.